AUACAGGGGGUGCGAGCGUUAAUCGGAAUUACUGGGCGUAAAGCGUACGUAGGCGGUCCGUUAAGUUAGAUGUGAAAGCCCCGGGCUUAACCUGGGAACUGCAUUUAAAACUGGCGGACUAGAGUUGAGUAGAGGGGAGUGGAAUUUCAGGUGUAGCGGUGAAAUGCGUAGAGAUCUGAAGGAACACCAGUGGCGAAGGCGACUCCCUGGACUCGAACUGACGCUGAGGUACGAAAGCGUGGGUAGCAAACGGGAUUAGAGACCCCGGUAGUCC
Molecule: ribosomal RNA, 274 nt
Filed under: uncultured bacterium
Lineage: Bacteria
Description: partial 16S ribosomal RNA
Rfam family: Bacterial small subunit ribosomal RNA
Source: RNAcentral